AGAGACUAAUUCUGACUGGAGGAAUACAGAUCUGGAAGAGAAGAGAUAUUACUGAUCUUCAAAACAUGGGUAGGAUUUUAAGAGGAACUGAUCAUUUCAGAAGGAAGCACGUCAGCAUUACUAUAGCGGAACCAGAAGGGAAUUAUAGGUUUUUCUGCUGGAAAAUCUUUUACUGCUUUUGUGAGAAGAAGGAACAUAUACAUGCAGAUGCUAACAGACCCUUGAAUUAUGAAAAUGGUACCUCUCCACUGCGACACAGGAAGAGCUGGUUUGGAAAUUGGAUGUGAAUAUGGCUCUGUGCAAAUCAUCUAUUUGCUUUUGGAGGUGUUAGCUCAGUUGGUGAGAGGACAGCACUAAUAAGGGUAAGGGUGCAGGUUUUAUUAGCUUUACACAGAGAGAAACUGCCCCAGAGUCACAGAUUGUACCUCCAAGCUCAGUGAGUUCUCCUGGGUCACAAAGAGAGUGCAGAUUACUCAGAACAACCUAUUAACAGUUUGGAAAACAAGCAGCUGAUGGCAGAUCUGGUACAUAAAAGAUAACACUUUCUUACUUUGCAGAGGGCUAAAAAAAAAAAAAAAUUGAACCCAUCAAACAAGUGUCAAUUUAAGAAGUGUCCCUUUGUCAUAUAUACCCUUUGGACUACAAUUCCAAAAACGGGCAUAUUGUGAAGGAAAAUUUAAAUCCAAAUUCUGAGAAUACAUCCAGUUCGUUACUGGACUCUGUGCUUGGUAGGAAGAAAAGAUGGCCAUGUGAUAUUGAUAAUAGACUGUCAAAUGGCAAAAAUCAAUCUGAAAAUCAUUUGUAGU
Long non-coding RNA from Mustela erminea (ermine), 806 nucleotides. RefSeq lists it as uncharacterized. The transcript is spliced from 3 exons. The record is from RefSeq and is a predicted model, not a curated record. NCBI's taxonomy places the organism in Eukaryota, Metazoa, Chordata, Mammalia, Carnivora, Mustelidae.